GACGAACGCUGGCGGCGUGCUUAACACAUGCAAGUCGAACGGAGUUACGUUUUCGGAUGUAACUUAGUGGCGAACGGGUGAGUAACGCGUAAGGAACCUGCCUCUCAGUGGGGGACAACAGUUGGAAACGACUGCUAAUACCGCAUAAUGCUAUUGACCGGCAUCGGUUGAUAGCCAAAGAUUUAUUGCUGAGAGAUGGCCUCGCGUCUGAUUAGCUAGUUGGUGGGUAACGGCCCACCAAGGCGACGAUCAGUAGCCGGACUGAGAGGUUGACCGGCCACAUUGGGACUGAGAUACGGCCCAGACUCCUACGGGAGGCAGCAGUGGGGAAUAUUGCACAAUGGGCGAAAGCCUGAUGCAGCAACGCCGCGUGAGGGAAGACGGUUUUCGGAUUGUAAACCUCCGUCUUUGGUGAAGAGAAAGUGACGGUAGCCAAGGAGGAAGCCACGGCUAACUACGUG
RNAcentral lists this ribosomal RNA (461 nucleotides) under uncultured bacterium. RNAcentral describes it as "bacterial SSU rRNA". It matches the Rfam family "Bacterial small subunit ribosomal RNA", at positions 28 to 507 of the family's 1533-position model. The record is from RNAcentral.